UAGGGAAUCUUCGGCAAUGGACGAAAGUCUGACCGAGCAACGCCGCGUGAGUGAAGAAGGUUUUCGGAUCGUAAAACUCUGUUGUUAGAGAAGAACAAGGACGUUAGUAACUGAACGUCCCCUGACGGUAUCUAACCAGAAAGCCACGGCUAACUACGUGCCAGCAGCCGCGGUAAUACGUAGGUGGCAAGCGUUGUCCGGAUUUAUUGGGCGUAAAGCGAGCGCAGGCGGUUUCUUAAGUCUGAUGUGAAAGCCCCCGGCUCAACCGGGGAGGGUCAUUGGAAACUGGGAGACUUGAGUGCAGAAGAGGAGAGUGGAAUUCCAUGUGUAGCGGUGAAAUGCGUAGAUAUAUGGAGGAACACCAGUGGAGAAGGCGGAUCUCUGGUCUGUAACUGACGCUGAGGCUCGAAAGCGUGGGGAGCAAACAGG
Molecule: ribosomal RNA, 429 nt
Filed under: Gemmatimonadota bacterium
Lineage: Bacteria; Pseudomonadati; Gemmatimonadota
Description: Gemmatimonadetes bacterium partial 16S ribosomal RNA
Rfam family: Bacterial small subunit ribosomal RNA
Source: RNAcentral